Molecule: ribosomal RNA, 765 nt
Filed under: uncultured Alphaproteobacteria bacterium
Lineage: Bacteria; Pseudomonadati; Pseudomonadota; Alphaproteobacteria
Description: bacterial SSU rRNA
Rfam family: Bacterial small subunit ribosomal RNA
Source: RNAcentral
CAUGCAAGUCGAACGAAGUAGCAAUACUUAGUGGCAGACGGGUGAGUAACAUGUGGGUAUCUACCCUUUGGCCUGGAAUAACACGAGGAAACUUGUGCUAAUACCGGAUAAGUCUUUACGGAGAAAGCUUUAUGCACCAUUGGAUGAGCCCGCACUUGAUUAGUUUGUUGGUAGGGUAAUGGCCUACCAAGACUAUGAUCAAUAGCUGAUUUGAGAGGAUGAUCAGCCACAUUGGGACUGAGACACGGCCCAAACUCCUACGGGAGGCAGCAGUGGGGAAUCUUGCACAAUGGAGGAAACUCUGAUGCAGCGAUGCCGCGUGAGUGAAGAAGGCCCUUGGGUUGUAAAGCUCUUUCGUCGGGGAAGAAAAUGACUGUACCCGAAUAAGAAGGUCCGGCUAACUUCGUGCCAGCAGCCGCGGUAAUACGAAGGGACCUAGCGUAGUUCGGAAUUACUGGGCUUAAAGAGUUCGUAGGUGGUUGAAAAAGUUGGUGGUGAAAUCCCAGAGCUUAACUCUGGAACUGCCAUCAAAACUUUUCAGCUAGAGUAUGAUAGAGGAAAGCAGAAUUUCUAGUGUAGAGGUGAAAUUCGUAGAUAUUAGAAAGAAUACCAAUUGCGAAGGCAGCUUUCUGGAUCAUUACUGACACUGAGGAACGAAAGCAUGGGUAGCGAAGAGGAUUAGAUACCCUCGUAGUCCAUGCCGUAAACGAUGUGUGUUAGACGUUGGAAAUUUAUUUUCAGUGUCGCAGCGAAAGCGAUAAACAC